RNAcentral lists this transfer RNA (73 nucleotides) under Centruroides sculpturatus (bark scorpion). Its description in RNAcentral is "tRNA-Val". It matches the Rfam family "tRNA". Rfam says of the family: Transfer RNA (tRNA) molecules are approximately 80 nucleotides in length. Their secondary structure includes four short double-helical elements and three loops (D, anti-codon, and T loops). The record is from RNAcentral. Lineage: Eukaryota; Metazoa; Arthropoda; Arachnida; Scorpiones; Buthidae.
GUGCUUGUGGUGUAGUGGUUAUCACAUCCGCCUGACACGCGGAAGGUUCUAGGUUCGAUCCCUGGCAGGCACA